CGCUAUCACUCCUACGGGAGGCAGCAGUAGGGAAUCUUCGGCAAUGGGGGCAACCCUGACCGGGCAACGCCGCGUGAGUGAAGAAGGUUUUCGGAUCGUAAAACUCUGUUGUUAGAGAAGAACGUUAAGUAGAGUGGAAAAUUACUUAAGUGACGGUAUCUAACCAGAAAGGGACGGCUAACUACGUGCCAGCAGCCGCGGUAAUACGUAGGUCCCAAGCGUUGUCCGGAUUUAUUGGGCGUAAAGCGAGCGCAGGUGGUUUCUUAAGUCUGAUGUAAAAGGCAGUGGCUCAACCAUUGUGUGCAUUGGAAGCUGGGAGACUUGAGUGCAGGAGAGGAGAGUGGAAUUCCAUGUGUAGCGGUGAAAUGCGUAGAUAUAUGGAGGAACACCGGAGGCGAAAGCGGCUCUCUGGCCUGUAACUGACACUGAGGCUCGAAAGCGUGGGGAGCAAACAGGAUUAGAUACCCUGGUAG
Molecule: ribosomal RNA, 473 nt
Filed under: uncultured bacterium
Lineage: Bacteria
Description: bacterial SSU rRNA
Rfam family: Bacterial small subunit ribosomal RNA
Source: RNAcentral